GCACUGGUUUUUCAGUGGUAGAAUUCUCGCCUUCCAUGUGGGAGACUUGGGUUCAACUUCUGACCAACGCG
Molecule: transfer RNA, 71 nt
Filed under: Loxodonta africana (African savanna elephant)
Lineage: Eukaryota; Metazoa; Chordata; Mammalia; Proboscidea; Elephantidae
Rfam family: tRNA
About the family: Transfer RNA (tRNA) molecules are approximately 80 nucleotides in length. Their secondary structure includes four short double-helical elements and three loops (D, anti-codon, and T loops). Further hydrogen bonds mediate the characteristic L-shaped molecular structure. tRNAs have two regions of fundamental functional importance: the anti-codon, which is responsible for specific mRNA codon recognition, and the 3' end, to which the tRNAs corresponding amino acid is attached (by aminoacyl-tRNA synthetases). tRNAs cope with the degeneracy of the genetic code in two manners: having more than one tRNA (with a specific anti-codon) for a particular amino acid; and 'wobble' base-pairing, i.e. permitting non-standard base-pairing at the 3rd anti-codon position.
Source: Rfam by way of RNAcentral